Podarcis lilfordi (Lilford's wall lizard) is the source of this 5982-nucleotide non-coding RNA. The record is from the annotation of a GenBank genome assembly. NCBI's taxonomy places the organism in Eukaryota, Metazoa, Chordata, Lepidosauria, Squamata, Lacertidae.
AAACUGCCUAUGCGUGUUCACUAUGAGAGAAGAGCACAGCAUCAUUAGGCAAGGCAGAAGAAGAGGAAGAAGAGGAGGAAGAAAGCCAUUUACUGAAGUCUCAAAGGUGAGCAUUUUCUGUGAAAGCCCAUAGUAGUUAAGAAAGGUGUAUAUUUUGGACUGUAAAUAUUUAAGUGAUUCUUUAUCAUCUUUGUGUCAGUGCCUUUGAUGCUACUCAAAUGUAACAUUCAUAACAUUUUGGUAUUAUUUAUAUUUAGUAUACUAUAGACUACAAUGACAGUCUAGAUAUUUAUUUUAAAAACUGAAAAUAUCAAGAGCACAAAACAUUGGUUCUAUGUCAGAUGUUUGUUUAUUUAAUAUACAGAGUGUAUAUAAAAUACAUGAAAUAGUGGAUGUAUUGUAAAAUAUGAAUGAUAAAUAGGCAUGUUCCCCUCUUUCCAUUGUAAGUACAAAGGGACAUAUGUAUAUGCUCUACCACUCAGUUACAGACCUAGCAUAGAAUAGGCAACCAUGCAGGGUACAGGCCUUAUAGAGUAGGCUUGUGCCAUACACUAUACUUUUUAGUAUACGUAGCAGAGGCACCAACUUCUCAAGAUGAUUGAGGUGGCCUGAUGCAAUGUUGCAUGGAGCCAGAAUGUAGAACUGAACACUUUUUGAACAUUGAGGGGGCCCAGCCCUAAAAAAAAAUUGGGGCGUGUGUGGCAAAGUGACUCAAGCCCCUGGAACUGGCACCUAUGAUAUUGCUCAUUAGAUAAAUUAAUUGUUUAUCUUCCCUUUUAUUGGGAAACAUAUAUAUACUGCAACUUUGAAGAUUGUCUCACUCUAGGGCGAUAAAUUCAUGCAAACUGGAAAAAUUGUUUUGCUCAUGGUUCAUUUGCUGGGAUAGAUUUGUAUGAACAAGUUCAUACUUCUUUGUUUUGUGUGUGUGUUUUAAAAAAAAUAGUCUCUGCUCAACUCAACUUUUUGCUCAACAGGGAAGUUAAGCAUCAUUAUGUCUGGGUUCAAUCGGCACAGUUGGUUAAACAUGCCAAAAUCACCAUUCCUCACAAACAAGCCCUCCCCACAGUCUGCUCUGUGCCCAAGGCAUCUAUAAAUAAAUUGCUGCCAUCCAUCCAUUAAGAAUCUUAUGCUGGAGUAAUGGAUGGAGAUGCAUAAGAAAUGUUUUCCACUAAGCACAUGCACUCUGCAUCUCUGCAUUCACUGAAUCCAUUCUAAACAAAGAAACUGCGGUGGUGAUGAUCAGAUGCUCAGCAGAAGAACAGGGGCAAGGGAUGGUUGAAAGGGGAGGGGGAGUUAGAAUUAUUAGAGUAGAACAUGUGCACAGGGUUGGGUUGUUGUUGGUUUUUUUCCAAGAGGAUUUAAAACAAAUAGAAUCCCCUUAAGGAUUAGCAGUCAACCCUGUUGCUGAGAAAACGAAGGGUAUUUGAGGGCAGCGCUCAUUCAGCCACGGUAGGUCUGCAUGAGGUGAACGUGGUGCCUGCCAACAAAAAGUGUUAGCACAGGAUCCCAGCAGGGAACAUUCAGGAGCUUGCAGAGUGCAAAGAGCUUUUGUUUUUGCAAAGAAAAAGAGAGUUUGCCUGCCAGAUGGCUUUUUGCAAGUGCUCACAGCUCUCAAAUAAAUAUAAGGAAGUACUUUUAAAGAGUAAAGACUGCCAUGAUAUAAAUACAAAAGGGUGGGGUUUUUAAUUAAACAAUGCAGGGGGGAAUCACAAAGACAUUCUAGCCAACAUACUUAAAUCUUUUGCCUGGAGUGACAUGCCCACAGCAGUUGAUUGCAUUAUUUCUUCAUAAAACUGCUCAGUCAUUUUUAUUAUAAUUUUGGCUGAGAGAUAAAAAUGACAAAAUUCAGGAUCGGGAUGAAUUCAGUUUGGUUCACGUUUUAAUGUGAGCCUACCUGGUGCACAUUUCCAGGAACAAAAUGCGAACUGAAAUGAAAUUAUUCAUCCAAAUUUGCACUUCUCUGAAUUUUGCAAUGCAGUUCUCUAUCCCACUCCCAAAUUACAAAACUUCCUAUAUUAGGGGAAGUUGCACAAAAAUAUGCAUACAUCUGUGAAAAUAAAAUACAAAAUUCCAUUUUAUUAGAGGAAAUGGGUAUACUAGAAAAAUUGCACACUACAAUUUUCAUGAAGCUUUUGAAACUCUCCUCUUAGCAUUUGAUGCAGCACAAUCUAAAGCGCUGUCACAUGGAAGAUGGAGCAAACUUGUUUUCUCCUGUACCAAAGGGUAGGACCCAAACCAAAGGCUUCAAGUUACAUGAAAAGAGAAUCUGACUAGACAUCAGGAAGAAUUUUCUGAUGGUAGGAGCUGUUAUCUGGCUGUAACAAAGUAGCAGAUGAUGCAGUGGGGCUCUGCCACUUACCUGACCUCCCUCUGGCCAAAUAUCUGCUGCUGACCGGGGGGAGGUGAGACGACAAUGAGGUAGGUGUAGUAGAAAGGCUCAGGUAGAAGCACUGUUGGCGCCAUUGGCACAUUUAUACUGUCCUGACCUCAUUGUCGCCUCACCCAUCAGCAUUUUAGAAUGCACCAUAACCAGCAAAUUGUCCCAUAGUAAUAGCACCUGCCUUCUGUACUGCCAUCCCUUGGGUAAUUUGUGAGGUGAAGAAAGAAAUGACCUUUAAGUAUUUCUUAAACACUUACAUCUUUACCCAACUUUUCCUGGACUCUGACUCUUAAUUUUUAAUUCUCUGUUUUGGACAUUUCUGUUACCUGCCUUUGCGUUUAUUUUGCUUCUAUGCAGCUUUUAGGAAAUGUUACUGAAUGUCACUGCUGUAUUUAUAUAUUUUGUAGAUUUUGUAGAUUUAUAUACUUUGUAGAUUUUGCUGCCUCUUAAUUUGUUAAUGUGAAGGUUGUUAUUUUCAUUUUAUUGUAUUUUGUAUGAAUAAUUUUUAUCUAUGAAUAUUGUACACCACCACCCUGAAAUGGUGGUCAGUUUAGAAAUAUUUUAAAUAAAUAAGGAUCCUUGCCCAAUAAAGAGCUACAUAGCCAUAGCUACAGGAUACAGAAAAGAAGCAACAAUGUGGUGUGUGCAAGGCAGUCUAUGUACAACUUGGCAGGGGUACUACUUUGUUGAAAAGCGAAAGAAGCAGAGAGUGAGUGCUUGGAACAAAACACCUGGUGAGAUAGUUGUCUGACUCCAGCCUUAGGUUGAGCUUAAUUAAAGCAAGGAGAGUGUGAAACAUUCUGUCUUUGAAACAGUCCAAAUCCAUUUAUAUAUCUGCCAAAACCUUCAGCACUUAGAGUCAUGGUGAGCACAGCACCCCAAGCACUUAAGCAAAGUUGUUUGCUUAUUUCUUUAUUUAUCUAACAGUAGAAAAACUCAUACAGAAAAGUAAUCUCUCUCUUAAACUUAUUACUCUAAAACAGUUCCAGUGAUAUAAGCCGUAAAAGAAAUGGCCUAAACAACCAAAGCAAAUUUCUACCUCUUGUUGAAACAAUCUAAACUGAAUUUUGCUUUAUGGUAGUUUGAUGAGAUGAUAUACAAUGACUAGGUGGUUUGAGGUACCCAUGUUGGAAUGAAACAGCUUUGUAAGAAGCACCAUAGCCUUUGAACAUGGCCAGAAAACAAGGAAAGAGAAUUGUGGAAUGGGCAUCUCCAAGUUCAUCUGUACAAAACACAAGACCAUGAUAGUGGGUGGGUUGAGGGCUAUCUACAGCUUUUGAGGCAUAAAUAUGAACAGUGGGGUUGACUGAGGAUUCCCUUAUGUGACAUCCAAAGAGAUGGGAAUGUGGUAGAAAACAGAAAUACCUUGUAAUGCUAUCCCCAGGCUAUGUGUAGUAUUUGAGGUGAGCUUUGAGGUUAUCUGAAUCUUCCAACUUUCAGGAUGUCCACAAGUUUUAGUGAUAUGAGAGAGGGCUACCCCCAAAUGGUUGACUUCAACAUCCCCCCACAAUGUGUAGCCAGUAGGACGCAUGGCCAGUGGCUACACAGUAUGACCCUCAUGACCUAAUCCAAUGUGUGAGGUAGUUCAAGCAAACAUCUCUGUUGAGAUCUCUAUGUGUAGUGCACCAGUGGUUUCUAUUUCAAAUCCAUAAUUAAGUCUAACUCUUGACCCAGCUUUUAUUUUGUAAACCUGAAUUUCAACCACUGAUGCUUCAAACCCCAUCAGUAGCAGCAAACAAGAUUGUGGUGGCAGGGGGACCUUGCGUCUUUGUUGCUACUGGUGGAAAAGCAGAGAUGAUCUUGAGAGAUGCUUUUGUUCAGAAAAAUAGCCCAAGGAGAAAGGUUUAAGCAUCACAUCUUCUCUGCUCUUCUCAGGACAUAUCUGCAUCCUCCACAACUUCAUUUGGGGAUGAUGACCCAAAAGUAUCCUCCACAACUUCAUUUGGGAAUGAUGACACAUUUUCUGGCAUAAUUUUGACCUCUGUCAGUAUGUUUUUAAGAAGUCAACAGCAGCAAUAUGACCACAGAUAUCAACUAUUUUACCAGAAGCAAGUACAAAAAGAAAUUUUAUGUUGUUAUCAACACAGUGUUUAAGCCUCGAGAUCAUGAUAACCUGCAUCUUUUCCUGUUCCUUUAAAAAACCAGCUUUGCAAAACACCAUGAACAUCAUUUUCACUGUCUCUUAUUAAUGACAGGCCCAUAUUACAAAUUUUGGAAGAUGUGAUGUCUGUGAUCUCCCAAAGGUCAUUUGUGAGUUGGUCUCCUCUGAGUUAUGAGCCCUUACCAUCUACAAAGAACUUGAUCUGCUGACAGUAAUGAGACAAACAUGUAUUAGCUUCAUGCCUCAGAAAUUGUAGUGCCCCUAGUGAAUCCUUGGCAUUAACUGUUUGCAGCUUAGCCGGUGUGAAAUGUAGGGGUGUUUUUUUUUUUUUUGUUAUAAAGCAGCUGGAACACAUGUCCAUGAUGGCAAUAAUUAACAGUAUCCCAGUACUGGAAAUAUCUGAUAAAGGAGGGAAAAGAGAGGGGGGUUUUUUAUCCAUAAAAGAGGGUCAAUUCAACAGUAUUUAGCAAUGACAUUUAAGGCCCCUUCAGACACACACUUACCACAUCAAAAUCUUUUACUACUACACAUAUGGAUGCACGUGUAAAGUGAAAAUUUCAGGUAUAUCAAGGUAACUCAGAGCAAUGAUCAUUAGUCAGUCCAUGGUUGCUCUGGUGCUGAUAAGACUAUAGCCAACUUCAGGGAUUUUCUUACACAUGCCUGCAAUUGCAUGGAAUAAAGAUGGUAGGGCUGUCCCUGGUGAUGCUACCCCUGCCCCCAAAUCCACAUGUUGAGGAAGGUGUGGAAAGAGGAACAUGCUCUGUGUAGAAAGACUCUCCUUGUGUUUUACAGCACUGGUUGCACAGGGAAAUAUGAAUGCUCUCCCUACAUCUCUAACAGACCUUCGUUUCCAACAAAUGUAAAGGGGGGAAAUUGGUGAUAUUUGUGGGAUUUCAGGAGUGCAGAAAACAUAAUUUGUCUUUCUGAUAUGGAGGGUAUUUAACAAAAUUUCAGGUUUUUCUUAACUUCUUUAAAAGUAAAAGCCAUUUAGACUUUCAAAAUGCACCCCAAAUAUCCCUGAAACUAAUGCUAUGUGAUUUGGUAGUGUUCUUUCUAGGGACAUUGUAUUGGUGGGGGAUAUGGAAAAAAAAGAUCCCUGUGCCAGUCUAAAGAUAGCAUAAGAUCUCUCAAUAUCAAAAUAUUAAUUGUGGUUGUGUGUUCAUAGCAAAGCCAGGAGUAUUUACCUUUGAAUGUGAAUGCCAUUGAAUGCUAUCAACUUUAUGCCACUCAUUGUGAAUUACUGUGCUCUACAGAUGUAAUAAAAUUUUCUAAAUGCUGCUAUCAGUUGCAGAACUGACAGAAAGACCUUUAAUGAUGCCACAAUUCAUAUGAUUCUUUAAACAUAUUUUCCUCCCAGGUACUCUACAUUGAACAGUAGCUUAAAAUUUUCAUCAAAUCAUGACAGCGUUACUCGAAACCUUCUGAACAUUUCCAAACAAAUUGCAGCAGCAAAGAGACCAAAUUGAACACAGAGGGAAAGUGUACACUUCCUUAUCCUCAC